AACGAACGCUGGCGGCAUGCCUAACACAUGCAAGUCGAACGAGACCUUCGGGUCUAGUGGCGCACGGGUGCGUAACGCGUGGGAACCUGCCCUUAGGUUCGGAAUAACUCCCCGAAAGGGGUGCUAAUACCGGAUAAUGUCUUCGGACCAAAGAUUUAUCGCCUUUGGAUGGGCCCGCGUUGGAUUAGCUAGUUGGUAGGGUAAAAGCCUACCAAGGCGACGAUCCAUAGCUGGUCUGAGAGGAUGAUCAGCCACACUGGGACUGAGACACGGCCCAGACUCCUACGGGAGGAAGCAGUGGGGAAUAUUGGACGAUGGGCGAAAGACUGAGCAAGCAAGGCCGCGUGAGUGAUGAAGGCCUUAGGGUUGUAAAGCUCUUUUACCCGGGAUGAUAAUGACAGUACCGGGAGAAUAAGCCCCGGCUAACUCCGUG
This 433-nucleotide ribosomal RNA is filed under the name uncultured bacterium. Its description in RNAcentral is "partial 16S ribosomal RNA". It matches the Rfam family "Bacterial small subunit ribosomal RNA", at positions 29 to 507 of the family's 1533-position model. The record is from RNAcentral.